RNAcentral lists this transfer RNA (92 nucleotides) under Oscillospiraceae bacterium. RNAcentral describes it as "tRNA-Ser". It matches the Rfam family "tRNA". Rfam says of the family: Transfer RNA (tRNA) molecules are approximately 80 nucleotides in length. Their secondary structure includes four short double-helical elements and three loops (D, anti-codon, and T loops). Lineage: Bacteria; Bacillati; Bacillota; Clostridia; Eubacteriales; Oscillospiraceae. The record is from RNAcentral.
GGAGAGAUGGCUGAGUUGGUCUAAGGCGCACGACUGGAAAUCGUGUGAAGGCUAAUACCCUUCCGAGAGUUCGAAUCUCUCUCUCUCCGCCA